GAGUUUGCUCCUGGCUCAGAUUGAACGCUGGCGGCAGGCCUAACACAUGCAAGUCGAGCGGUAGAGAGGUGCUUGCAUCUCUUGCGAGCGGCGGACGGGUGAGUAAUGCCUAGGAAUCUGCCUAGUGGUGGGGGAUAACGUUCGGAAACGGACGCUAAUACCGCAUACGUCCUACGGGAGAAAGCGGGGGAUCUUCGGACCUCGCGCCAUUAGAUGAGCCUAGGUCGGAUUAGCUAGUUGGUGAGGUAAUGGCUCACCAAGGCGACGAUCCGUAACUGGUCUGAGAGGAUGAUCAGUCACACUGGAACUGAGACACGGUCCAGACUCCUACGGGAGGCAGCAGUGGGGAAUAUUGGACAAUGGGCGAAAGCCUGAUCCAGCCAUGCCGCGUGUGUGAAGAAGGUCUUCGGAUUGUAAAGCACUUUAAGUUGGGAGGAAGGGUAGUAACCUAAUACGUUGCUACUUUGACGUUACCGACAGAAUAAGCACCGGCUAACUUCGUGCCAGCAGCCGCGGUAAUACGAAGGGUGCAAGCGUUAAUCGGAAUUACUGGGCGUAAAGCGCGCGUAGGUGGUUCAGCAAGUUGGAUGUGAAAGCCCUGGGCUCAACCUGGGAACUGCAUCCAAAACUACUGAGCUAGAGUACGGUAGAGGGUAGUGGAAUUUCCUGUGUGGCGGUGAAAUGCGUAGAUAUAGGAAAGGACACCAGUGGCGAAGGCGACUACCUGGACUGAUACUGACACUGAGGUGCGAAAGCGUUGGGGAGCAAACAGGGAUAGAUACCCUUGGUAGUUCACCGCCGUAAACGAUGUCGACUAGCCCGUGGGGAUCUUGAGAUCUUAGUGGCGCAGCUAACGCAUUAAGUCGACCGCCUGGGGAGUACGGCCGCAAGGUUAAAACUCAAAUGAAUUGACGGGGCCCCGCACAAGCGGUGGAGCAUGUGUUAAAUUCGAAGCAACGCGAAGAACCUUACCUGGCCUUGACAUGCUGAGAACUUUCUAGAGAUAGAUUGGUGCCUUCGGGAACUCAGACACAGGUGCUGCAUGGCUGUCGUCAGCUCGUGUCGUGAGAUGUUGGGUUAAGUCCCGUAACGAGCGCAACCCUUGUCCUUAGUUACCAGCACGUUAUGGUGGGCACUCUAAGGAGACUGCCGGUGACAAACCGGAGGAAGGUGGGGAUGACGUCAAGUCAUCAUGGCCCUUACGGCCAGGGCUACACACGUGCUACAAUGGUCGGUACAAAGGGUUGCCAAGCCGCGAGGUGGAGCUAAUCCCAUAAAACCGAUCGUAGUCCGGAUCGCAGUCUGCAACUCGACUGCGUGAAGUCGGAAUCGCUAGUAAUCGUGAAUCAGAAUGUCACGGUGAAUACGUUCCCGGGCCUUGUACACACCGCCCGUCACACCAUGGGAGUGGGUUGCUCCAGAAGUAGCUAGUCUAACCGCAAGGGGGACGGUUACCACGGAGUGAUUCAUGACUGGGGUGAAGUCGUAACAAGGUAACCGUA
This 1502-nucleotide ribosomal RNA is filed under the name uncultured bacterium. Its description in RNAcentral is "bacterial SSU rRNA". It matches the Rfam family "Bacterial small subunit ribosomal RNA". The record is from RNAcentral.